Molecule: ribosomal RNA, 451 nt
Filed under: uncultured bacterium
Lineage: Bacteria
Description: partial 16S ribosomal RNA
Rfam family: Bacterial small subunit ribosomal RNA
Source: RNAcentral
GUGGGGAAUAUUGGACAAUGGGGGGAACCCUGAUCCAGCCAUGCCGCGUGUGUGAAGAAGGCCUUUUGGUUGUAAAGCACUUUAAGCGAGGAGGAGGCUACCGAGAUUAAUACUCUUGGAUAGUGGACGUUACUCGCAGAAUAAGCACCGGCUAACUCUGUGCCAGCAGCCGCGGUAAUACAGAGGGUGCAAGCGUUAAUCGGAUUUACUGGGCGUAAAGCGCGCGUAGGUGGCCAAUUAAGUCAAAUGUGAAAUCCCCGAGCUUAACUUGGGAAUUGCAUUCGAUACUGGUUGGCUAGAGUAUGGGAGAGGAUGGUAGAAUACCAGGUGUAGCGGUGAAAUGCGUAGAGAUCUGGAGGAAUACCGAUGGCGAAGGCAGCCAUCUGGCCUAAUACUGACACUGAGGUGCGAAAGCAUGGGGAGCAAACAGGAUUAGAAACCCGAGUAGUCC